CCUUUAGAUGUUCUGGGCUGCACGCGCGCUACAAUGGUCUUCGCAAACGGAUGCAUUCUCGAAGGAGAAUGCCAAUCUUGGAAUCUAUGCCUUGGUCGGGACAGUUGCUUGCAAUUUUUCGACUCGAACCAGGAAUUCCCUGUAAUCGUGAUUCAUCACAUCACGAUGAAUACGUCCCUGCCCUUUGUACACACCGCCCGUCGCUCCUACCGAUCGAAGAGUUAGGUGAAUUGUUUUGAUCGAUAAGAUUUGACUAUGGUCAACUCUCGUUGUGAAAUUCUGUGAAUCUGACUGUUUAGAGGAAGGAAAAGUCGUAACA
This 319-nucleotide ribosomal RNA is filed under the name uncultured eukaryote. RNAcentral describes it as "partial 18S ribosomal RNA". It matches the Rfam family "Eukaryotic small subunit ribosomal RNA", at positions 1470 to 1796 of the family's 1831-position model. The record is from RNAcentral.